GGGUUGUGAGGUUAAGCGACUAAGCGUACACGGUGGAUGCCCUGGCAGUCAGAGGCGAUGAAGGACGUGCUAAUCUGCGAUAAGCGCCGGUAAGGUGAUAUGAACCGUUAUAACCGGCGAUUUCCGAAUGGGGAAACCCAGUGUGAUUCGUCACACUAUCAUUAACUGAAUCCAUAGGUUAAUGAGGCGAACCGGGGGAACUGAAACAUCUAAGUACCCCGAGGAAAAGAAAUCAACCGAGAUUCCCCCAGUAGCGGCGAGCGAACGGGGAGGAGCCCAGAGCCUGAAUCAGCAUGUGUGUUAGUGGAAGCGUCUGGAAAGGCGCGCGAUACAGGGUGACAGCCCCGUACACAAAAGCGCAUGUGCUGUGAGCUCGAUGAGUAGGGCGGGACACGUGGUAUCCUGUCUGAAUAUGGGGGGACCAUCCUCCAAGGCUAAAUACUCCUGACUGACCGAUAGUGAACCAGUACCGUGAGGGAAAGGCGAAAAGAACCCCGGCGAGGGGAGUGAAAAAGAACCUGAAACCGUGUACGUACAAGCAGUGGGAGCACAGGUUUACCUGUGUGACUGCGUACCUUUUGUAUAAUGGGUCAGCGACUUAUAUUCUGUAGCAAGGUUAACCGAAUAGGGGAGCCGGAGGGAAACCGAGUCUUAAUUGGGCGUUAAGUUGCAGGGUAUAGACCCGAAACCCGGUGAUCUAGCCAUGGGCAGGUUGAAGGUUGGGUAACACUAACUGGAGGACCGAACCGACUAAUGUUGAAAAAUUAGCGGAUGACCUGUGGCUGGGGGUGAAAGGCCAAUCAAACCGGGAGAUAGCUGGUUCUCCCCGAAAGCUAUUUAGGUAGCGCCUCGUGAAUUCAUCUCCGGGGGUAGAGCACUGUUUCGGCUAGGGGGCCAUCCCGGCUUACCAACCCGAUGCAAACUGCGAAUACCGGAGAAUGUUAUCACGGGAGACACACGGCGGGUGCUAACGUCCGUCGUGAAGAGGGAAACAACCCAGACCGCCAGCUAAGGUCCCAAAGUCAUGGUUAAGUGGGAAACGAUGUGGGAAGGCCCAGACAGCCAGGAUGUUGGCUUAGAAGCAGCCAUCAUUUAAAGAAAGCGUAAUAGCUCACUGGUCGAGUCGGCCUGCGCGGAAGAUGUAACGGGGCUAAACCAUGCACCGAAGCUGCGGCAGCGAACGUAUCACUUAAAGCGAUUCAGCGGGUUACGAUUGACGGAGCGAAGCGACGUCAAAGCGUAUACAAAGUCGAGUCGGUUUAAGGAUACGUUCGUUGGGUAGGGGAGCGUUCUGUAAGCCUGUGAAGGUGGCCUGUGAGGGUUGCUGGAGGUAUCAGAAGUGCGAAUGCUGACAUAAGUAACGAUAAAGCGGGUGAAAAGCCCGCUCGCCGGAAGACCAAGGGUUCCUGUCCAACGUUAAUCGGGGCAGGGUGAGUCGACCCCUAAGGCGAGGCCGAAAGGCGUAGUCGAUGGGAAACAGGUUAAUAUUCCUGUACUUGGUGUUACUGCGAAGGGGGGACGGAGAAGGCUAUGUUGGCCGGGCGACGGUUGUCCCGGUUUAAGCGUGUAGGCUGGUUUUCCAGGCAAAUCCGGAAAAUCAAGGCUGAGGCGUGAUGACGAGGCACUACGGUGCUGAAGCAACAAAUGCCCUGCUUCCAGGAAAAGCCUCUAAGCAUCAGGUAACAUCAAAUCGUACCCCAAACCGACACAGGUGGUCAGGUAGAGAAUACCAAGGCGCUUGAGAGAACUCGGGUGAAGGAACUAGGCAAAAUGGUGCCGUAACUUCGGGAGAAGGCACGCUGACACGUAGGUGAAGUGAUUUACUCACGGAGCUGAAGUCAGUCGAAGAUACCAGCUGGCUGCAACUGUUUAUUAAAAACACAGCACUGUGCAAACACGAAAGUGGACGUAUACGGUGUGACGCCUGCCCGGUGCCGGAAGGUUAAUUGAUGGGGUCAGCGCAAGCGAAGCUCCUGAUCGAAGCCCCGGUAAACGGCGGCCGUAACUAUAACGGUCCUAAGGUAGCGAAAUUCCUUGUCGGGUAAGUUCCGACCUGCACGAAUGGCGUAAUGAUGGCCAGGCUGUCUCCACCCGAGACUCAGUGAAAUUGAACUCGCUGUGAAGAUGCAGUGUACCCGCGGCAAGACGGAAAGACCCCGUGAACCUUUACUAUAGCUUGACACUGAACAUUGAGCCUUGAUGUGUAGGAUAGGUGGGAGGCUUUGAAGCGUGGACGCCAGUCUGCGUGGAGCCGACCUUGAAAUACCACCCUUUAAUGUUUGAUGUUCUAACGUGGACCCGUAAUCCGGGUUGCGGACAGUGUCUGGUGGGUAGUUUGACUGGGGCGGUCUCCUCCUAAAGAGUAACGGAGGAGCACGAAGGUUGGCUAAUCCUGGUCGGACAUCAGGAGGUUAGUGCAAUGGCAUAAGCCAGCUUGACUGCGAGCGUGACGGCGCGAGCAGGUGCGAAAGCAGGUCAUAGUGAUCCGGUGGUUCUGAAUGGAAGGGCCAUCGCUCAACGGAUAAAAGGUACUCCGGGGAUAACAGGCUGAUACCGCCCAAGAGUUCAUAUCGACGGCGGUGUUUGGCACCUCGAUGUCGGCUCAUCACAUCCUGGGGCUGAAGUAGGUCCCAAGGGUAUGGCUGUUCGCCAUUUAAAGUGGUACGCGAGCUGGGUUUAGAACGUCGUGAGACAGUUCGGUCCCUAUCUGCCGUGGGCGCUGGAGAACUGAGGGGGGCUGCUCCUAGUACGAGAGGACCGGAGUGGACGCAUCACUGGUGUUCGGGUUGUCAUGCCAAUGGCACUGCCCGGUAGCUAAAUGCGGAAGAGAUAAGUGCUGAAAGCAUCUAAGCACGAAACUUGCCCCGAGAUGAGUUCUCCCUGAGACUUUAAGUCUCCUGAAGGAACGUUGAAGACGACGACGUUGAUAGGCCGGGUGUGUAAGCGCAGCGAUGCGUUGAGCUAACCGGUACUAAUGAACCGUGAGGCUUAACCUUACAACGCCGAAG
RNAcentral lists this ribosomal RNA (3008 nucleotides) under Salmonella enterica. RNAcentral describes it as "bacterial LSU rRNA". It matches the Rfam family "Bacterial large subunit ribosomal RNA". The record is from RNAcentral. Lineage: Bacteria; Pseudomonadati; Pseudomonadota; Gammaproteobacteria; Enterobacterales; Enterobacteriaceae.